AUGCAUUCCAGGAUGGUGACUGAAGCUCAUCUUUGUAAACACCUAAAUGCCUAGAAUGGACUCCAAAACAGAUUCUUAAAGUUUAACCAGUAUAAUCUUGAAUAUGGACAAAAAGUAUACACUUGGAACACACACAAAAACAGAUGAGUCCAUGCCAAGCUAAAGAUUAAUGCAGAAGAUUUAUUCUUUGUGACAAGUCCUUCCUUGGAUGUCAACAAUUUGACCUUUGACCUUGACUUUGGAGUUUGACUUGCACUUGGGAAACUUUAACCAUAAGCUGGCAUAUGGGGUAUUAGUAUGUACAAACACAUCUAUUUUUCCGAGUUCACGCACAAAUCAUUGCUAUGUAAUGAAUUUUAGAUAAGAAAAUUACAAGGUAAAUAUUUGAAGAUAUAGUGAAAAAAAUAGCUUAAAAGAUCAUGGUUAUGAAUACUAAAAAAAUAAUUAUUUAGUAUUUAUAUUUAAGUUCUACGGAGAAUCAACCAGGAUUAAUA
Long non-coding RNA from Saccostrea cuccullata (small rock oyster), 494 nucleotides. RefSeq lists it as uncharacterized. The record is from RefSeq and is a predicted model, not a curated record. Lineage: Eukaryota; Metazoa; Mollusca; Bivalvia; Ostreida; Ostreidae. The transcript has 3 exons.